CAUUGACGGAUUCAUCCGCGCCGCCGACUCCACGGCACAGGCCUGUCGGGGGUUCAACGUGAGGCCCUCUCCGCCGAAACAGGAAGUCUCAUGGAAGAAGAUGUUCCUACCUGGCGUUGGCUUAUCGUCAUCUGAAAUAUAAGUAAUGCGUGAGAUUCGGCGAUGAACACGUGGUCUCGUGAAAGAAUAUACAUCUGCUUGGAAUCAGCAUUUGUAUGUCUAGGAAUUAGAGGAAAACAGGUAAAAUAUACGCUUGAAAAAUAAAUUUAAAUGAUUUAGCUUUUAAGCUAAAGCAUUUACGUAGAAAAUAAUUAAAAACGUGUGAAUUUUCUUUCUUUCUUUAAAGUAAUGACAAAAAUAAAUUUAUUAAUUAAUUUAUAAGGUAAAAAUAAAUAUAUAUCUGUCAUACAAUUAAAAGAUUUCUCUGAUUCGAUUUUCAGAGAUUGACACAU
Long non-coding RNA from Wasmannia auropunctata (little fire ant), 452 nucleotides. RefSeq lists it as uncharacterized. The transcript has 2 exons. NCBI's taxonomy places the organism in Eukaryota, Metazoa, Arthropoda, Insecta, Hymenoptera, Formicidae. The record is from RefSeq and is a predicted model, not a curated record.